This 253-nucleotide ribosomal RNA is filed under the name uncultured bacterium. Its description in RNAcentral is "partial 16S ribosomal RNA". It matches the Rfam family "Bacterial small subunit ribosomal RNA", at positions 524 to 776 of the family's 1533-position model. The record is from RNAcentral.
UACGUAGGGUGCAAGCGUUAAUCGGAAUUACUGGGCGUAAAGCGUGCGCAGGCGGUUUUGUAAGUCUGACGUGAAAUCCCCGGGCUCAACCUGGGAAUUGCGUUGGAGACUGCAAGGCUAGAAUCUGGCAGAGGGAGGUAGAAUUCCACGUGUAGCAGUGAAAUGCGUAGAGAUGUGGAGGAACACCGAUGGCGAAGGCAGCCCCCUUGGUCAAGAUUGACGCUCAUGCACGAAAGCGUGGGGAGCAAACAGG